GGACGAACGCUGGCGGCGUGCCUAACACAUGCAAGUCGAGCGGAGUUAACAAGAGGAAGUUUCGGAUGGAAUUUGUUAAUUAGCGGCGGACGGGUGAGUAACGCGUGAGCGACCAACCUUGCACAGGGGGAUAACGGACCGAAAGGUUCACUAAUACCGCAUGAGACCACGGUGUUGCAUGACACAGAGGUCAAAGGAGCAAUCCGGUGCAAGACGGGCUCGCGUCCGAUUAGGUAGUUGGUGGGGUAAUGGCCCACCAAGCCUAUGAUCGGUAGCCGACCUGAGAGGGUGAUCGGCCACAUUGGAACUGAGAUACGGUCCAAACUCCUACGGGAGGCAGCAGGUGGGGAAUAUUGGGCCAAUGGGGGAAACCCUGACCCAGCAACGCCGCGUGAAGGAAGAAGGUUUUCGGAUUGUAAACUUCUGUCCUUGGUGAAGAGAAGAAGACGGUAGCCAAGGAGGAAGCCCCGGCUAACUACGUGCCAGCCGCCGC
This 493-nucleotide ribosomal RNA is filed under the name uncultured bacterium. Its description in RNAcentral is "bacterial SSU rRNA". It matches the Rfam family "Bacterial small subunit ribosomal RNA", at positions 27 to 518 of the family's 1533-position model. The record is from RNAcentral.